Molecule: ribosomal RNA, 803 nt
Filed under: uncultured archaeon
Lineage: Archaea
Description: bacterial SSU rRNA
Rfam family: Archaeal small subunit ribosomal RNA
Source: RNAcentral
GCGGGAAUUCGAUUUUCCGGUUGAUCCUGCCGGACCUGACUGCUAUCGGAUUGAUACUAAGCCAUGCGAGUUUUUGUAGCAAUACAAGGCAGACGGCUCAGUAACACGUAGUCAAUCUAACCUAUGGAUGAGGAUAACCUCGGGAAACUGAGAAUAAUACUCAAUAGAUCAUUAUGCCUGGAACGGUUUAUGGUUCAAAUGAAUUUCGCCAUAGGGUGGGACUGCGGUCUAUCAGCUUGUUGGUGAGGUAAUGGCCCACCAAGGCUAUAACAGAUACGGGCUCUGAGAGGAGAAGCCCGGAGAUGGGUACUGAGACACGGACCCAGGCCCUAUGGGGCGCAGCAGGCGAGAAAACUUUGCAAUGUGCGAAAGCACGACAAGGUUAAUCCGAGUGAUUCCUGCUAAAGGAAUCUUUUGUUAGUCAUAAUACCACUGAUGAAUAAGGGGUGGGCAAGUUCUGGUGUCAGCCGCCGCGGUAAAACCAGCACCUCAAGUGGUCAGGAGGAUUAUUGGGCCUAAAGCAUCCGUAGCCUGCUCUGUAAGUUUCCGGUUAAAUCCAUUAGCUUAACUGAUGGGCCGCCGGAAAAACUGCAAAGCUAGGGAGUGGGAGAGGUAGACGGUACUCGGUAGGAAGGGGUAAAAUCCUUUGAUCUAUUGAUGACCACCUGUGGCGAAGGCGGUCUACCAGAACACGUUCGACGGUGAGGGAUGAAAGCUGGGGGAGCAAACCGGAUUAGAUACCCGGGUAGUCCCAGCUGUAAACGAUGCAGACUCGGUGAUGCCCUGGCUUGUGGCCAGUGCAG